GAGGAGAAGGCCAUCACCGUCUGCGUGCGCCUGCGGCCCCUCAGCAGGAAAGAAGCUCUUGGAGGGGCUAUGCAAGAUCACUGGAAAACUGACAAUAAUACUAUUUAUCAAGUUGAUGGAAGUAUAUCCUUCAAUUUUGAUCGUGUCUUUCUCAAUAAUGAAUCGACUGAAAAUGUGUAUGAAGAAAUAGCAGUACCAAUCAUAGACUCUGCCAUGC
Molecule: long non-coding RNA, 217 nt
Organism: Diceros bicornis minor
Lineage: Eukaryota; Metazoa; Chordata; Mammalia; Perissodactyla; Rhinocerotidae
Exons: 3
Source: RefSeq, a predicted model, not a curated record